This 824-nucleotide long non-coding RNA is filed under the name Phoenix dactylifera (date palm). RNAcentral's name for it is "long non-coding RNA (PDAC_LNC011558)". The record is from RNAcentral. Lineage: Eukaryota; Viridiplantae; Streptophyta; Magnoliopsida; Arecales; Arecaceae.
CCAUGAGGUAUUAAAGUAAACAUCCACAACUCUCGAAAUCCUGCAAGAUAGAAUGAUUUUGAAUCAGUGAUUAGGUCUUAUCUGACCAAUUCUUGGAAACUACUAGUUUUAGCAGUAUUUUGGAGAAUCUAAAGCCUUAGCUUGUGUAUGGUCCAAAUAUCACCGAGCACCCGAGUAUAAAUGAGCCUUACAACUCCCUAACGGAAACUUAAUGACCUCAACUUAAAUUGCAUCUUGACCUAGGAUUUGGGCUGACUUAGUAAUUAAAACUUUGUGUGCUUUUGAAGUUAUUGGCACUUAUGCAUUUGAAAUUAGAUUUUACAAUAAAAUAAAUUCUUUAGACAGCAGUUUGUGGGUAUUUGAGCCGGAAACCCUCACGAGACAAAACUCGUCCACUAGGGCCACCUAGGGGUUUAAAGCCUUAUUGCAUACGGUAAAUGCAAUCGCGAUUCCUGCAAAGUGAGUUAGUUUUCUUUAUUUUGCUCGAGAACUAGCAAAAUAUAGGUUGGAGGGUGUGAUAAGUACUAAAUAAUGUAUAUAUUUAACUAUUUUACACAGCACUUAUCAUUAUUUUUUUUGCACAUAUUUUAAAUUUAACAUAAGAAAAUGUGUUCCCCUUCAUCAUUGCAUUAUUAAAAAUAAUUCGAUUUUGCUUGAUUUUAUUGGUCCAUCUAAUGUAUGCAGGUCGAAUCAAAUUCAUCUGGGAUGACCCCUGAACCCAAAUCGCAUGCACCCCAUGAAUCGGAUCUUCCCAACCAAUUAGAGUCGACCCCAAUUUUCAUUUCUCAGCACGUGCCAUCCCAAAUAAUUUAUUUUCAUGAAUC